UUUGAUCAUCUGAGAGGUUUCAAUAGGAUAUUUGUUUUAGGGUGAGAACAUUUAUUUAUUUAUUACAUCUUUAUUGGAGUAUAAUUGCUUUACAAUGUGUGUUAGUUUCUGCUGUACAACAAAGUGAAUCAGCUAUGUAUAUAUACAGGUAUCCCCAUAUCCCCUCCCUCUUGAGCCUCCCUCCCACCCUCCCUAUCCCACCCCUCUAGGUCGUCAUAAAGUAUCGAGCUGAUCUCCCUGUGCUAUGCAGCAGCUUCCUAGUAGCUAUCUGUUUUACAUUUGGUAGUGUAUAUAUGUCAAUGCUACUGUCUCACUUCAUCCCAGCUUCUCCUUGCAGCCUUGUGUCCUCAAGUCCAUUCUCUACAUCUGCGUCUUUAUUCCUGCCCUGCCACUAGGUUGAUCAGCAUCAGUUUUUUAGAUUCCAUAUAUAUGUGUUAGCAUACGGUAUUUGUUUUUCUCUUUCUGACUUACUUCACUCUAUAUGACAGACUCUAUGUCCAUCCACCUUACUACAAAUAACUCAAUUUCAUUCCUUUUUAUGGCUGAGUAAUAGUCCAUUGUAUAUAUAUGCCACAUCUUCUUUAUCCAUUCAUCUGUCGAUGGACAAUUAGGGGAUGAGAACCUUUUAAAAAUAUCCUUGCAAAUAUCUUAUCAGGUGUUUGGCCAGGACAACCAGUAAAUUCUCCUGUAUUGAACCCUUUUUUCCCCUCCCAGGCGGUUUCCAAAGGUAUACUUAUUCCUAAACAUGCCUCAAAACCAAUAAGCCUUAUUAUAGCUUAACAAUGGACAAAAAGAUGUCACUAAAGAGGUUGAAAAAAGAGCAGCCAUGAUACAGAGUCACUCCCAAAGACAGCCAAAAAAAUAAAGACUACAUGAGUCCCUGAGAGCUGGCAGCCUCCUUAGUAGCACAUCAGCCUCAAGUGGGGUGCAACCCACAUUUCUGGACAACCAGCUACAAAUUCUAAGGACCCAAAUGUGACAGUUGGCUGCCAGUACACUCAGGCUAUACAACCAGUGUUCCUUGCAGGAGGAAAGACACAGAGGGAACACUCUCAAUGGAUCCAGGCCAAUCUCCCAGGAUACCAAAUGGGGCAAACGGGAAAGCAAUGCUGUACCUGGAGGGAAAGGACACUGAGAGGACCCAGAACUGAGGGCCAUACAAAAUCACAACGCCCAGAGAAGAGGUCCCCCCAAGUGUUUCCUCAUGCCAGUCUAGAUAUGAGCAAAGGAGAAGACAAGGAGAGAUUGUCACUGCCCUCAUUUGACCCAGUCAGAGCAGAUAUCUGGGAGGCUGACUUAGUCAGAAUUAUUACCUUUUCUUUGUUCUUUCAGACGUCCUGAGAAUCCAUCACAGCCUCUGGAGUGAGUGGUGUGCCCCAGCCUUCCCUUUGUGUUCACCAAAACUGAAAAAAGAAAACAGUUUCCUCGACUUUCUCAGGCUUAGUGGCUGGGGCUUGUAAAUUACACUUACAGAAGACAGGUUAACAGGAGAAAGUGUUUGUUUCCAUGCACACAGGAGCCAACCAAAAAAGCCACUCAAUGCUAAAUAAUGAGAGUCAAAGGCUUAUAACCUAACUUAACAGGGAAAGGGUGAGGGGAGAAUUGGCUUCUAUGGGAAGAACAGAGAGGUUUCUUCAGGAAAGACAAACAGGUUCUUUGGAAAACAAUGGGAUAUGAGAAAGUUUGUGAUAAUGUUUGCGUCUUCUUCAGGGUCAUAAAACACCUCACAGAAGGGACUUAUGGUGGGUUUACUCUUGGUCUCUCUCCUGGGAAUAGAAGCCACCCUGAAGAGGGAAUUUACAGCAGUGGUCAUUUCUCAGAAGUUUCUGCUUUUAUUCAGAUGAGGGAAGCUCCAAGAAAGCUCUUUUUUUCCUGCAUCUAUUGAAUCUCAAGUAUCUUCAGCUUAAAUUGUCUUUAUACCAACCAUGGGGUUCUGUCUGGCUCUCCAUACCUCCAACUUUGUUCUUCAAGAUUCUUUGAUCUAUUCUGAGCCCUUUUUCCACAUGAAUUUUAGACUGCUUGUCAAUUUCUGCAAAACACCACCUGGAAUUUUGGUAGGGAUUGACUUGAAUCUUUAUUUGUGGAGUAUUGCCGUCUUAAUAGAAUUAAGCCUUCUGAUCCAUGAAUAUGGGAUUAUUUUCCAUGAAUUUAGCUCUCUCUUAGUUUCUUUCAACAAGCAAUUGUUGUUUUCAGUGUACAAGUCUUACCCACAUUUCCCUCACCUCUACUGGAUGCUGAUUCAGAACAUAUACAACCUCCGGGAGAAACUUGCCCCAACCCUGCCAUUCACUGCUGCCUAGCUGGCCUGGAACUGAGUCACCAAUAGCUUUUGUUCUUUACUUGAUUCUUUUUUUAAUUAAUUAAUUUAUUUAUUUAUGGCUGUGUUGGGUCUUCGUUUCUGUGCGAGGGCUUUCUCUACUUGUGGCAAGCAGGGGCCACUCUUCAUCGCGGUACAUGGGCCUCUCACUAUCGCGGCCUCCCUUGUUGUGGAGCACAGGCUCCAGACAUGCAGGUUCAGUAAUUGUGGCUCACGGGUCCAGUUGCUCCGCGGCAUGUGGGAUCUUCCCGGACCAGGGCUCGAACCCAUGUCCCCUGCAUUGGCAGGCAGAUUCUCAACCACUGCGCCACCAGGGAAGCCCUAUUUGAUUCUUAAUUCCUUUAGAAUUCAUUAUUUUACCCUCAUAAGUGGUUACUGUCCUUGUAAUAAAUCUUUAAAACAUGAAAUGAUGUUACUUUAAUUAUUCCAACGAUGAGUGAUAAAUGGAUCACACUUAACAUGAUUUUAAUCUUUUUAGAAUUAUACACAUAUUAUAAAGUGAUAUACACAUAUUAUAAAGAAUUGAAAUACCACCUAAAGGAGAAGAGAAGAGGUUUGCAAAUCCCACCCCCAGAGGUGACCAUCAUGAACGGUUUGGUGCAUCUCUCUCAGGCUCUGUCUCUCUCCUGUCUCUCUCUAUCUCUGUCUCCCACACAAGCAGAUUUAUUGACAUCUCUGUUUAUUUCACCUCUUUGUGGUCUUACAGAUGGGAUCCAGGCUGCAGAUGGUUGGUCCUCAUGCUUCCCACCUAAGAGAAUCCUGAGGUCUCCCCUUUCAUGAGAACAUUGAUCUUCAAGAGGUUUUUGGACCACAGGUAUUCUCCGGCCUUGGUUAUGAGGAAUGCUUUUCCAGUUUGUGUGUGUUGGCUCCUGCAGAUCAGUUCAUUCUGGGAACCUUCUGUCGACCAGCCGUCAGCUCUAAGAGGGUGGAGGUCAGGUUCGGUCUCGGCCACAUCUUCCCCGCCGGCACCUUUGAAUUCUACCUCCUUCCUUGGCUUGACUCCUCAGCAUGCUGACAUGCUCUCAGCGACCAUCUUCAGAAGCUCUGUGAACAUGGGCUGGGUCUUUCAAAAUGAAACGCAUUCUUCCUCUACGAUCCAGCCCUCAAACUCCUUGGUACUGAUGGACCUAAAUGAGUCGAAUGCUUCCAUCUACACAGAAACUUGCAUCUGGACGUUUACGGUAGCUUUAUUCAUAACUGCCAGAACUUGGAAGCAACCAAGAUGUCCUUCGGGAGGUGAAUGGACAGAUAGACGGGGCUCCAUCCAUGCAGCAGAAUGUUCUUCAGCACUGAAAAGAAAAAUGAGAGAGAGAGGGAGCCACGGGGUGACAGGUGGGGCACCUUAACUGCAUGUCACUCACUGAAAGAAGCCAAUCUGGAAAGG
Orcinus orca (killer whale) is the source of this 3701-nucleotide long non-coding RNA. RefSeq lists it as uncharacterized. NCBI's taxonomy places the organism in Eukaryota, Metazoa, Chordata, Mammalia, Artiodactyla, Delphinidae. The transcript has 3 exons. The record is from RefSeq and is a predicted model, not a curated record.